AGCUGCGCACCGAGGCGCACCUCCGCGCACCCUCAGGAGGCGGGUCCAGCUCGGUGGCGAGGGGAGCGCGGCCCCCGAGUGGGCGAGGCGCUGGCGGCUGUAGGCUCCGAUACCGCGGAGCACACUCCCCUCCAUCGAGACCGUGCCCCCGCGGGGUCUGUGUCCCCGGGAGGAGUUGGCUGCGUUUGGAGAUCCCUCGGCCUGGUAUUCGUCGCGUCUCCCUGCUUGUUGCUCUCCACGUUUAGCCCCAUCCGACUUCUGGAAGCCCAGGGGUGUGUCGCUCGACCCCUAAAAUAUGCUCCUACCCCUAGGGCAAACUUCAGAAUCCUCACCCUGGCCCCCUUCCCAGUUCUUGGUUCCCAGGCAGGUCCCUUUGCAAAGCCUCUCUCCAGCAAGAAUGCGCAGAAUGGGCCUCUUUCUCCUCUUGACUCCUGCCCUCCAGCACUUUGCAGCUUUCUUCUAUUUUAGCCUCUCUCUCUCUCUCUCACACACACACACACACACACACACACACACACACACACACACGGUAUAUUCAAUGAGUUUGCUUAUUAGAUGGGUACUUGAUGUACAAGACUCCAGAGGCUCUGUGGGAAGAGCCACAUUCCUUCCAGGCUCACUAACCCACUCCCUCUUUGUGCUCCAGCCCUCACUGUCUUGGUCUGUGGCAUGCAGUUCCUGGGUCACAUUUCCUUCUCUGCCUUCAGCACAGCCUCGGGCUGUGCCUGGCUCCCAGGCUGGAGUUCCUUGGUUCCAAAGCCUGCAGUCCCCUCUGCCAGAGACAGAGCUGGUUUCAUGGGUGAACAGCCCAUGCAGUCACAACGGGCCGCAUGCUCAGAAUCCUGUACUUGGUUUAGUACUUUGCUGUUGCCGUCUUGAAAUGAUUUUCUAAUAGGGGUUCUUGUGUUUUCAUUUUGCACGGGGCUGUGCAAAUUAUGUGACUGGUCCUGGCUAGAGACCUCAGAGGUCGUCCACCCUGAUCUCCACCAUAUCUCAAACGCUGAAGAUUGACUUCCAGGUCUGGCCCUCUUCCCAGGAUGGCACAUUGUGUUUUAAUCAUUACCUUUCCCUCCUGUGCGAUGGCGGAUCAUGCAAGUCCACGCUGGCUGUCUGUCCUGGGUGUAGAUGCUGAUUUGGUGUCCCACUCAGAUCCCCUUGCAGGAAGAACGGAGCUCCCUAAGUGUGGUUUAUGCCCCACAGCUCUUCCACUGUGGGUCAGGCCAAGGCUGGGCUGAGACUGUUCCUGCUCAGCAUUUUUCCUUUCCCUCUUCUGCUUCCUUCCUUCUUUUACUGGUUUUUCUGGAAGUACACUCCCCCCCAGCCCCACCAAACAAACAAAACAAACAAACAAAAAAACACUUCAUGCCUGUCUCAGGCUCUGCUUUUAAGACAAUGAUUUUAACUCCCAGAUCUCUCUCAACAGAGAGCACCAGAUUCUCAAAACAAUGCAGACUUUGGAGCCACAUGUGGGUUUGAAUCUCAACUCUACCUGAGUGACCCUGGGCAAGUCACUUCACUUCCCUGAGACUCAAGUUUCAUCAAGAUGGGAACAAUGAGCAUCUGCCUCACAGGCUUGUCGUGAGGAUUAAGUGAGAAGGUGCAGCUGCAAAGACAUCAAGCUGGACCCAUCGAGGAUUUCGGAUUCAGCCAUCAUGGGGCUGCUGCCGGGGAAGCCACUGCCCCUCCUUUCUCCUCAGCACUGGGGUUAUAAAAAAAUACCUACAAACCAUGAGAAAGUUUGUGUAAAAACACUUUUCUGCACAUAUAAAAAGAGAGACUGGCCGUGGUCAGUGGCUCAGGACGUGGACCAAAGUCCCAAGAGUGGCCAAGGGGAGUCCGUGGUGCCCCAGAGGUAGAAGAGCUAGCCUGGGGCACCCCUGGUUGCCGGGAC
This 1891-nucleotide long non-coding RNA is filed under the name Homo sapiens (human). RNAcentral describes it as "non-protein coding lnc-AUNIP-2:4". The record is from RNAcentral. Lineage: Eukaryota; Metazoa; Chordata; Mammalia; Primates; Hominidae.